RNAcentral lists this ribosomal RNA (444 nucleotides) under uncultured Hyphomicrobiaceae bacterium. RNAcentral describes it as "bacterial SSU rRNA". It matches the Rfam family "Bacterial small subunit ribosomal RNA", at positions 337 to 798 of the family's 1533-position model. Lineage: Bacteria; Pseudomonadati; Pseudomonadota; Alphaproteobacteria; Hyphomicrobiales; Hyphomicrobiaceae. The record is from RNAcentral.
CCCUACGGGUGGCUGCAGUGGGGAAUAUUGGACAAUGGGCGCAAGCCUGAUCCAGCCAUGCCGCGUGGGUGAAGAAGGCCUUAGGGUUGUAAACCCCUUUCAGCGGGGAAGAUAAUGACGGUACCCGCAGAAGAAGUCCCGGCUAACUCCGUGCCAGCAGCCGCGGUAAUACGGAGGGGACUAGCGUUGUUCGGAAUUACUGGGCGUAAAGCGCACGUAGGCGGACUGUUAAGUCAGGGGUGAAAUCCCGAGGCUCAACCUCGGAACUGCCUUUGAUACUGGCAAUCUCGAGUCCGGAAGAGGUGAGUGGAAUUCCUAGUGUAGAGGUGAAAUUCGUAGAUAUUAGGAAGAACACCAGUGGCGAAGGCGGCUCACUGGUCCGGUACUGACGCUGAGGUGCGAAAGCGUGGGGAGCAAACAGGAUUAGAUACCCCUGUAGUCGUC